GACAAAACUGGCAUGUGAUACCUUUUCGGAAAGCCCAAAGAGAGUUCUCCGAUGAAUGAGGAAGGAAAAUGGAAUUCUUCUAUUGGUUUUUUUUUCUACUCCAAAUUUUGACCUUAAUGUAAUUUUUCGGGCCUUUUUGCGAUCUUUACUAUAUUAGGGGGCGAAAAUUAUAUGUUCGCACAUUGUUUUCGUUGCAUGUAUCAAAGCUCUUAUAAACAAGAUAGGGUAUUCCUACAUAGCUGGUGGGACCCACGACAAAUCGAUCAUAAAGUUUUCAAAAAAGAAUAGAUACGAUUGCAUUGCAUGUAGUAACGAAUGCGAUCAUACCAGCACUAAUGCACCAUAUCCCAUCAAAACUUCGCAGUUAAGCGUGCUUGGGCGAGAGUAGCACUAGGAUGGGUGACCUCCAGGAAAGUCCUCAUGUUGCAUCCCUCUGUUUUCUGUUUUUUUUUUUU
This 455-nucleotide ribosomal RNA is filed under the name Arabidopsis thaliana (thale cress). Lineage: Eukaryota; Viridiplantae; Streptophyta; Magnoliopsida; Brassicales; Brassicaceae. The record is from RNAcentral.